Molecule: transfer RNA, 69 nt
Filed under: Ictidomys tridecemlineatus (thirteen-lined ground squirrel)
Lineage: Eukaryota; Metazoa; Chordata; Mammalia; Rodentia; Sciuridae
Description: Spermophilus tridecemlineatus (thirteen-lined ground squirrel) tRNA
Rfam family: tRNA
About the family: Transfer RNA (tRNA) molecules are approximately 80 nucleotides in length. Their secondary structure includes four short double-helical elements and three loops (D, anti-codon, and T loops).
Source: Rfam by way of RNAcentral
GGGGCUGUGGCUCAGUGGUAGAGUGCUUGCCUAGCACACAUGAGGCACUGGGUUCAAACCCCACCACCA